This 253-nucleotide ribosomal RNA is filed under the name uncultured bacterium. Its description in RNAcentral is "partial 16S ribosomal RNA". It matches the Rfam family "Bacterial small subunit ribosomal RNA", at positions 524 to 776 of the family's 1533-position model. The record is from RNAcentral.
UACGGAGGGUGCAAGCGUUAUCCGGAUUCACUGGGUUUAAAGGGUGCGUAGGUGGGAAUGUAAGUCAGUGGUGAAAUCUCCGUGCUUAACAUGGAAACUGCCAUUGAUACUAUGUUUCUUGAAUUUUCUGGAGGUAAGCGGAAUAUGUCAUGUAGCGGUGAAAUGCUUAGAUAUGACAUAGAACACCAAUUGCGAAGGCAGCUUGCUACAGGGAUAUUGACACUUAGGCACGAAAGCGUGGGGAUCAAACAGG